Molecule: transfer RNA, 73 nt
Filed under: Stegodyphus mimosarum
Lineage: Eukaryota; Metazoa; Arthropoda; Arachnida; Araneae; Eresidae
Rfam family: tRNA
About the family: Transfer RNA (tRNA) molecules are approximately 80 nucleotides in length. Their secondary structure includes four short double-helical elements and three loops (D, anti-codon, and T loops). Further hydrogen bonds mediate the characteristic L-shaped molecular structure. tRNAs have two regions of fundamental functional importance: the anti-codon, which is responsible for specific mRNA codon recognition, and the 3' end, to which the tRNAs corresponding amino acid is attached (by aminoacyl-tRNA synthetases). tRNAs cope with the degeneracy of the genetic code in two manners: having more than one tRNA (with a specific anti-codon) for a particular amino acid; and 'wobble' base-pairing, i.e. permitting non-standard base-pairing at the 3rd anti-codon position.
Source: Rfam by way of RNAcentral
GCAUUCGUGGUGUAGUGGUCAGCACGCUCGACGCGUAUUCGAGAGGUCCGUGGUUCGAGUCCCGGCGAGGGCA